UGGGGAAUCUUGCACAAUGGGCGCAAGCCUGAUGCAGCAACGCCGCGUGCGGGACGAAGGCCUUAGGGUUGUAAACCGCUUUCAGCAGGGAAGAAGAUGACGGUACCUGUAGAAGAAGGUGCGGCCAACUACGUGCCAGCAGCCGCGGUGACACGUAGGCACCAAGCGUUGUCCGGAUUUAUUGGGCGUAAAGAGCUCGUAGGCGGUUCGGUAAGUCGGGUGUGAAAACUCUGGGCUCAACCCAGAGCCGCCACCUGAUACUGCUGUGACUAGAGUGCGGUAGGGGAGCGGGGAACUCCUGGUGUAGCGGUGAAAUGCGCAGAUAUCAGGAAGAACACCAGUGGCGAAGGCGCCGCUCUGGGCCGUGACUGACGCUGAGGAGCGAAAGCGUGGGUAGCAAACA
Molecule: ribosomal RNA, 403 nt
Filed under: uncultured bacterium
Lineage: Bacteria
Description: bacterial SSU rRNA
Rfam family: Bacterial small subunit ribosomal RNA
Source: RNAcentral